This 253-nucleotide ribosomal RNA is filed under the name uncultured bacterium. RNAcentral's name for it is "partial 16S ribosomal RNA". It matches the Rfam family "Bacterial small subunit ribosomal RNA", at positions 524 to 776 of the family's 1533-position model. The record is from RNAcentral.
UACGUAGGUGACCAGCGUUGUCCGGAUUUACUGGGCGUAAAGAGCGCGCAGGCGGUCGUUCAAGUCGAGUGUGAAAGCCCCCGGCUCAACUGGGGAGGGUCAUUCGAUACUGAUCGACUGGAAGGCAGGAGAGGGAAGCGGAAUUCCCGGUGUAGUGGUGAAAUGCGUAGAUAUCGGGAGGAACACCAGUGGCGAAGGCGGGUCUCUGGGCCGUAACUGACGCUGAGGAGCGAAAGCGUGGGGAGCGAACAGG